This 450-nucleotide ribosomal RNA is filed under the name uncultured bacterium. RNAcentral describes it as "partial 16S ribosomal RNA". It matches the Rfam family "Bacterial small subunit ribosomal RNA", at positions 354 to 796 of the family's 1533-position model. The record is from RNAcentral.
GUGGGGAAUAUUGGACAAUGGGCGAAAGCCUGAUCCAGCCAUGCCGCGUGUGUGAAGAAGGUCUUCGGAUUGUAAAGCACUUUAAGUUGGGAGGAAGGGCAGUAAGUUAAUACCUUGCUGUUUUGACGUUACCGACAGAAUAAGCACCGGCUAACUUCGUGCCAGCAGCCGCGGUAAUACGAAGGGUGCAAGCGUUAAUCGGAAUUACUAGGCGUAAAGCGCGCGUAGGUGGUUUUGUAAGUUGGAGGUGAAAUCCCCGGGCUCAACCUGGGAACUGCCUCCAAAACUGAAUGACUAGAGUGCAGUAGAGAGUAGUGGAAUUUCCUGGGUAGCGGUGAAAUGCGUAGAUAUAGGAAGGAACACCAGUGGCGAAGGCGACUACCUGGACUGAUACUGACACUGAGGUGCGAAAGCGUGGGGAGCAAACAGGAUUAGAAACCCGGGUAGUCC